CCGUGACCUAAAACCUAAAUGAUAUUUUUAAGUAUCAACGGCAUUACCAAUUAAAAAAAAGUACGAAUCAUUAACAUUUAGAGACUGGUGACAAUAUAUGAAAAUAAUUAUUUUUUCAACAAAGAUAUAAUUAAAAAUUAUACUGUUGCUUAAUAUUUGCUGUUACUGUUAACAGGAUGUCAUGUCACCCUACCCGAACAUGCUACCAAGAGAAUUUUAAACAAUUAGGUGAAAAUGAAAAAAAUGAAGAGUGAUACAUAUAAAGUGAAAUAUUGUGCUCUAGAGAAACUAUAUAUACAGCUUGUUGUAAUUUAAUGUUAAGACGUUACUGUCCUAAUCUUUUUCUGUCCGAAAACUAAAAAAGUAUACUUUACAUUUUAUAAUGCCCCUGUUUUCAACGGAGUUGGCAAUAAAUGUUUCCAUUAUCGGUCCGUCUGUCGGUCCAUCCGUCCGUUCGCACGUCCUAUAAUUUGUUUCCGUUCUCCAACUUUAGUUUGUAUCAACCAAAUGUUAUGAGAUAUAUAUCCACAAUUUCACAAUACGUAUCACAAAAACAGAUCAAGUUCGAAUUCUGAUGGCGUCACUUUUAUUGUUCUUCAUUUAUUCCCUUAUUAACGUUAUAUGCCAAAGCGGGGGAAUAUGUGUGUCAAAUUUUGUUGCCAAGUUUUCGUUUUUUUUAUAUUUCUAAAUAGUUUUCCUUCCUAUAAAACGAAACGCACCCA
RNAcentral lists this long non-coding RNA (722 nucleotides) under Mytilus galloprovincialis (Mediterranean mussel). The record is from RNAcentral. Lineage: Eukaryota; Metazoa; Mollusca; Bivalvia; Mytilida; Mytilidae.